UUUUUAAUCGAUGCAUGUGGCAACACUUAUGUUCUGUCAUCUUGCAACCGUUUUGUUAUUUUACAAAUAAACAGAAUUCUGCAUAAAAUUAAAUGUUUAUUUACAGCAAAUUUUGAUAUAAUUUGUUAAAAAUAAAUACAUAUAGAAAUAUGCAUAAUAUAAUUAAAAUGUGCUAGAAAAUUAAGAAUAACGAUAAAAAUUAGUUAAUGAAAUAAAUCUUUUUGCUUGGAAACGAUGCGUACAAGAAGUUGAGAAAAUUAUAUGAAAGAGAAUGACGGAAAAACACGAACAGAGUUGUCGAACAAGAAUUGCUCGUGUGAACGCAAUUGGCGACAGCAAAAGAGAAUCGCCCGAGAAUUAGCAACAGAAGUUGCCUGUGUGAAAGUGGACUAUACAAGCAAAUUAAUACCCGCAACUUCAAUAGAUUAAAGAAACUUAUAGCCAAAGGAGAUUAUCAAAUGUCAAAUUUGUUGUAUUUGUUUUUUUCUUGAUGAAAAUAAAUUGUUAUGAACCAAAAUUUUUACUCCGGAACGAAUAAAUAUUUAUAAUUACGUUGAAACCCUCAAAAAAGGAUAAAAUAAGAAAUAUUAAAGAUAUGGAAGAGAAACAAAGGAGAAACAAGUGACAAAUUCUUAAGGGAGAGCUUCAGGAUGAGUCGGGAAUCAUUCUCAAUUUUAUGUAAUGAGCUAUCACACAUUGGCAAACGUAAUACUACAUACAGGGAAUGUAUUCCAUUAGAAAAAAGAAUAGCUAUCGCUUUGUACACCCUUGGUUCUUCUGCUGAAUAUAGAACAAUUGGGAGACUAUUCGGGGUUUUCAAAGCGUCUGUAUGUUGUAUUCUUAAAGAUUUUUGCCGAGGAGUGUGGGACAAACUCUCGUCUAAAUAUUUAACCUGCUCAUUUCUCACGCAAGAAAAAAUUACGGAGUGCGUUGAAGGGUUUACAAAGAUUGGAUUUCCACAAUGUCUGGGUGCAGUAGAUGGAUGCCAUAUUGAGAUUAGGCCCUCCGCAUCUGAUGCUGUUGACUAUUUCAACUACAAAGGUUGGUACUCAAUGGUUUUACUAGCCCUCGUAGACUACAGAUUUAUGUACAUUAAUGUUGGAGCACCUGGUCGUUGUAAUGAUUCUCAAAUAUUUGAAAAAUCCAACUUGAAAAGAAUUUUGCAAAACCCUCUGCUUAAAGAGAAUGCGAAAAAAAUAGUGAAACUAAUGUCCCAAUUGUAGUUCUUGGGGACUCAGCAUUUCGCUUUUCUCCGUCUAACCCUAUAACCAAGCAGCUGAGGAUUACGAGAAUAUUUUUAAUUACCACUUAUCUAAAUCUUGAAGGGUUGUGAAAAAUGCAUUUGGUCACCUAAAAGCAAGAUUUAGAAGGAUAGGGGAAGGAAUUGACAACGAUAUUAAAAACGCAAUAUCAAUAAUAAAAUGUUCUUGCGUCUUGCACAAUUUUGUAAAUGAAAUGAAUGACAACAUAAACACGAAAUGGUUGGAAGUGCAAAAUAAUUUCGAAAUCGCUCGUCCACGAGAGCAACCAGAUCCAUUAUUCAUUUCUGGAACCGACGACCCUAAUGCUGAGAACAUCAGAAAAUCAAUAGCUCUAUUUCUACGUUCCUCGACUGAAGGCGGAAAUUCUUCUUGCGAAUCUAUAGAAGAGUUAUUUGGGGAGAGCGCACACUCCACAACUUCGUAAACUCUGCCGAGAAUGCUAUUAAUUUUCGUAUAAUAUUCCCAAGUCGAAGGGCUGCCACCAGAGGGACCAACAAUUUUCUUCUCAUCUCUGUAAAUAGGUACAUUUUUGAAAA
Zeugodacus cucurbitae (melon fly) is the source of this 1798-nucleotide long non-coding RNA. RefSeq lists it as uncharacterized. The record is from RefSeq and is a predicted model, not a curated record. The transcript has 7 exons. Lineage: Eukaryota; Metazoa; Arthropoda; Insecta; Diptera; Tephritidae.